RNAcentral lists this ribosomal RNA (253 nucleotides) under uncultured bacterium. RNAcentral's name for it is "partial 16S ribosomal RNA". It matches the Rfam family "Bacterial small subunit ribosomal RNA", at positions 524 to 776 of the family's 1533-position model. The record is from RNAcentral.
UACGGGGGGGGCAAGCGUUGUUCGGAAUUACUGGGCGUAAAGGGCUCGUAGGCGGCCGACUAAGUCAGACGUGAAAUCCCUCGGCUUAACCGGGGAACUGCGUCUGAUACUGGAUGGCUUGAGUUUGGGAGAGGGAUGCGGAAUUCCAGGUGUAGCGGUGAAAUGCGUAGAUAUCUGGAGGAACACCGGUGGCGAAGGCGGCAUCCUGGACCAACACUGACGCUGAGGCGCGAAAGCCAGGGGAGCGAACGGG